This 851-nucleotide long non-coding RNA is filed under the name Nicotiana benthamiana. RNAcentral describes it as "long non-coding RNA (NBEN_LNC039130)". The record is from RNAcentral. Lineage: Eukaryota; Viridiplantae; Streptophyta; Magnoliopsida; Solanales; Solanaceae.
AUAUUGACUUCCAACACUCUAGCAAUCCACUGAACUUCUCAGGAAUAACACUUUGUACUGCAAAAAUAGUCAUAAACUGGGCUACACUGUCUCUAUCUCUGAGACAGAUUUAAUAACUUCUCUAUAAUAAGAGUUCACUGUAAACACCGCCAGGAGUUGCACCUACUUUUCACUACUAGAUAAUCUUUUUACUGCAAAUGCAAUUGCAAUUCUUUACUAUAGAGGAGGAUAAAUUUUAUUGCCCAUGCAGUAGUUUUAGACGCUGUUUAACUUUUUUUUUGAGAAAUGGUAAGGUAUUGUCGAUAUCAAACAACGAGUGAGUGGUGUCGUUACAUCCCAGAAAAUUACCAUAGAAAUGGUAAGGUAUUGUCGAUAUAAAACAACGAGUGAGUGGUGUUGUUACAUCCCAGAAAAUAACCAUAGAGAGAAAAAAGAAACCCUGUUUGUCCAUACAAAAGAAUCUAUGAAUUCUAGCUGGGUUUCACUAUCAUCCAUCCAAUCAUAUUUACACCCAAAAAAUAUCGACAAGAUACAGUCUGAUUUGAUCUUCAAAAGUGAGUUCUCCUGUCCUUCCUCUCUUUCCAUAUGCGUUACCAAAUAGCUGCUGUUAUUGUAUUCCAAUCUUUCUUCAUUUGCUGUGAUAGCUCCUUCCUAUUCCAGCAAGACAGUAACUCAGCAGUAGUGCUUGACAUCACCCAUUAACUUCCCAAAAUGUUCAAGAAUAAUUGCCAGAACUGUGUGGCAGCUCCGUAGCAUAGGAAUAGAUGAUUGAUAGUUUUUGCCUCCUCUUUACACAUAUAGCACCUGUUAACUAUUUGGAUUUCCUUCUAUGGAAGCCCAAACUUGAUUGG